This 458-nucleotide ribosomal RNA is filed under the name uncultured bacterium. RNAcentral's name for it is "partial 16S ribosomal RNA". It matches the Rfam family "Bacterial small subunit ribosomal RNA", at positions 338 to 795 of the family's 1533-position model. The record is from RNAcentral.
CCUACGGGUGGCAGCAGUGGGGAAUAUUGGGCAAUGGGCGCAAGCCUGACCCAGCAACGCCGCGUGAAGGAAGAAGGCUUUCGGGUUGUAAACUUCUUUUGUCGGGGAGCAAAGCGAGUCACGUGUGACUCAUUGAGAGUACCCGAAGAAAAAGCAUCGGCUAACUCCGUGCCAGCAGCCGCGGUAAUACGGGGGAUGCGAGCGUUAUCCGGAUUUAUUGGGUUUAAAGGGUGCGCAGGCGGAGGUGCAAGUCAGCGGUCAAAUUGCGGGGCUCAACCCCGUACUGCCGUUGAAACUGCAUCCCUUGAGUGCGCGAGAAGUAUGCGGAAUGCGUGGUGUAGCGGUGAAAUGCAUAGAUAUCACGCAGAACUCCGAUUGCGAAGGCAGCAUACCGGCGCGCAACUGACGCUCAUGCACGAAAGCGUGGGUAUCGAACAGGAUUAGAUACCCGGGUAGUC